UACAUAAGAAAUAAAAAAAAA
Caenorhabditis elegans is the source of this 21-nucleotide non-coding RNA. The record is from Ensembl. NCBI's taxonomy places the organism in Eukaryota, Metazoa, Nematoda, Chromadorea, Rhabditida, Rhabditidae.